Molecule: non-coding RNA, 48 nt
Organism: Schistosoma curassoni
Lineage: Eukaryota; Metazoa; Platyhelminthes; Trematoda; Strigeidida; Schistosomatidae
Source: Rfam
AUGCUGCUGAGGAGUCCCAUACUAGGACGAAACGGCCGUCCAGUGCAU